CUGUGAGGGGAAUGAUGUAUUAUUAUCGAGCACUUAAGACACUUUCCUAUUUAGAUUCGGCAUCUGAGAUGGAUAUAAGG
Molecule: non-coding RNA, 80 nt
Organism: Populus trichocarpa (black cottonwood)
Lineage: Eukaryota; Viridiplantae; Streptophyta; Magnoliopsida; Malpighiales; Salicaceae
Source: Rfam